UCCUACGGGGCGCAGCAGUGAGGAAUAUUGGUCAAUGGGCGGGAGCCUGAACCAGCCAAGCCGCGUGAGGGAAGAAGGUACAGCGUAUCGUAAACCUCUUUUGUCAGGGAACAAAGGCGGGGACUAGUCCCCGGAUGAGGGUACCUGAAGAAAAAGCAUCGGCUAACUCCGUGCCAGCAGCCGCGGUAAUACGUAGGUGGCAAGCGUUGUCCGGAUUUAUUGGGUGUAAAGGGCGUGCAGCCGGAGAGACAAGUCAGAUGUGAAAUCCACGGGCUCAACCCGUGAACUGCAUUUGAAACUGUUUC
RNAcentral lists this ribosomal RNA (305 nucleotides) under uncultured bacterium. Its description in RNAcentral is "bacterial SSU rRNA". It matches the Rfam family "Bacterial small subunit ribosomal RNA", at positions 337 to 639 of the family's 1533-position model. The record is from RNAcentral.